GAUGAAGAACGUAGUGAAAUGCGAUAAGUAAUGUGAAUUGCAGAAUUCAGUGAAUCAUCGAAUCUUUGAACGCACCUUGCGCCCUUUGGCUAUUCCGAAGGGCAUGCCUGUUUGAGUAUCGUGAACACCUCAACUCUCAUGGUUUGCCAUGAUGAGCUUGGACUUUGGGGGUUUUGCUGGCCUUUGGUCGGCUCCUCUCAAACGGAUCAGCUUUCCUGUGUUUGGUGGCGUCACGGGUGUGAUAACUAUCUACGCCUGUGGUUUUCUGCCAGAUAACCUUCAGCGAUGGAGGUUCGCUGGGGCUCAUAAAUGUCUCUCUUCAGUGGAGACAGCUUUUUGGACGUUUGAUCUCAAAUCAGGUAGGACUACCCGCUGAACUUAAGCAUAUCAAUAAGCGGAGGA
Molecule: unclassified non-coding RNA, 402 nt
Filed under: soil metagenome
Description: partial contains 5.8S ribosomal RNA, internal transcribed spacer 2, and large subunit ribosomal RNA
Rfam family: 5.8S ribosomal RNA (bases 1-121)
Source: RNAcentral